RNAcentral lists this ribosomal RNA (2902 nucleotides) under human gut metagenome. RNAcentral's name for it is "bacterial LSU rRNA". It matches the Rfam family "Bacterial large subunit ribosomal RNA". The record is from RNAcentral.
UCAAGCUAAAAAGAGCGCAAGGGGAAUGCCUUGGCAUCAGGAGCCGAUGAAGGACGUGAUAAGCUGCGAUAAGCUUCGGGUAGGCGCACAUAGCCAGUGAUCCGGAGAUUUCCGAAUGAGGGAACUCACAUGGGAAACCCCAUGUACCGUAUAGUGAAUACAUAGCUAUACGGAGGUAAACCUAGGGAACUGAAACAUCUAAGUACCUAGAGGAAGAGAAAGAAAAAUCGAUUUUCUGAGUAGCGGCGAGCGAAAGGGAAAGAGCCCAAACCAGUGACUUGUCACUGGGGUUGCGGACAGAGCAUUAACGAGAAGAUGUUAUUAACCGAACAUAACUGGAAAGUUAGACCGUAGGAGGUAAUAGUCCUGUAGGUGAAAGUAACAUUUAUCAAGCUUUGAUCCAGAGUACCACGAGACACGUGAAACCUUGUGGGAAGCAGGGAGGACCACCUCCCAAGGCUAAAUACUACCUGAUGACCGAUAGUGAAGCAGUACCGUGAGGGAAAGGUGAAAAGAACCCCGGGAGGGGAGUGAAAUAGAACCUGAAACCGUGUGCCUACAACCGGUCAAAGCCCCAUAUGAGGGUGAUGACGUGCUUUUUGUAGAACGAGCCAACGAGUUACGGUAUGUAGCAAGGUUAAGUACUUAAGGUACGGAGCCGAAGGGAAACCGAGUCUUAAUAGGGCGACUAGUUGCAUGCCGUAGACCCGAAACCGGGUGACCUAUCCAUGGCCAGGUUGAAGCGAGGGUAAAACCUCGUGGAGGACCGAACCACGUUGCUGUUGAAAAAGCAUGGGAUGAGCUGUGGAUAGCGGAGAAAUUCCAAUCGAACUCGGAGAUAGCUGGUUCUCCCCGAAAUAGCUUUAGGGCUAGCGUCGGAUAUGUGUAGUGGAGGUAGAGCACUGAAUGGGCUAGGGGGCAUAUCGCUUACCGAACCUUAUCAAACUCCGAAUGCCAUAUACAUUUAGUCCGGCAGUCAGACUACGAAUGAUAAGAUCCGUGGUCAAAAGGGAAACAGCCCAGAUCGUCAGCUAAGGUCCCAAAGUGUAAGUUAAGUGGAAAAGGAUGUGGGAUUUCUAAGACAACUAGGAUGUUGGCUUAGAAGCAGCCACUCAUUUAAAGAGUGCGUAAUAGCUCACUAGUCGAGAGAUCCUGCGCCGAAAAUGUCCGGGGCUAAAACUUACCACCGAAGCUACGGGCUUGCGUAAGCAAGCGGUAGGGGAGCGUCGUAAUCGGGCUGAAGUCGUACCGUAAGGAGCGGUGGACUGAUUACGAGUGAGAAUGUUGGCAUUAGUAGCGAGAUGUAGGUGAGAAUCCUACAGGCCGAAUAUCUAAGGUUUCCUCAGGAAGGCUCGUCCGCUGAGGGUUAGUCGGGACCUAAGCCGAGGCCGAAAGGCGUAGGCGAUGGACAACAGGUUGAUAUUCCUGUACCACUACCAUCGUUAUUAUCGAGGGUGUGACGGAGAAGGAUAGUGUGUGCUAGCGAUUGGAAAUGCUAGUCUAAGCGUUUAGGCAGUUACGGUAGGCAAAUCCGCUGUAAUGUUAAUGCUGAGGCGUGAUGGGGAAGGCCCUUGAGGCUGAAGUACAUGAUUCCAUGCUUCCAAGAAAAGCAUCUAGAGAGAGAAGUAGUGCCCGUACCGCAAACCGACACAGGUAGAUGAGGAGAGAAUCCUAAGGCCGGCGGAAGAAUUGCAGUUAAGGAACUAGGCAAAUUGACCCCGUAAGUUAGCGAGAAGGGGUGCCUACGAGAGUAGGCCGCAGAGAAUAGGCCCAAGCAACUGUUUAGCAAAAACACAGGUCUCUGCUAAAGCGCAAGCUGAUGUAUAGGGGCUGACGCCUGCCCGGUGCUGGAAGGUUAAGGGGAACACUUAGCGCAAGCGAAGGUGUGAACUUAAGCCCCAGUAAACGGCGGCCGUAACUAUAACGGUCCUAAGGUAGCGAAAUUCCUUGUCAGGUAAGUUCUGACCCGCACGAAAGGCGUAAUGAUCUGGGUACUGUCUCAACCAUAGACUCGGUGAAAUCUUAAUACCUGUGAAAAUGCAGGUUACCCGCGACAGGACGGAAAGACCCCAUGGAGCUUUACUGUAGCUUGAUAUUGAAGUUAGGUAAUUUAUGUAGAGGAUAGGUGGUAGACUGUGAUGUAUGGACGCCAGUUCAUACGGAGUCGCCCUUGGAAUACCACCCUUAAAUUAUUUGACCUCUAACUUACUCCCGUUAUCCGGGAGGAGGACAGUGUCUGGUGGGCAGUUUGACUGGGGCGGUCGCCUCCCAAAGAGUAACGGAGGCGCUCAAAGGUUCCCUCAGAUUGGUCGGAAAUCAAUCAAAGAGUGUAAUGGUAUAAGGGAGCUUGACUGCGAGACCUACAAGUCGAGCAGGUGCGAAAGCAGGACAUAGUGAUCUGGCGGUAGAAUAUGGAAUUGCCGUCGCUUAACGGAUAAAAGUUACCCUGGGGAUAACAGGCUGAUAGCGCCCAAUAGUUCACAUAGACGGCGCUGAUUGGCACCUCGAUGUCGGCUCGUCACAUCCUGGAGGUGGAUUCGCUUCCAAGGGUUGGGCUGUUCGCCCAUUAAAGUGGCACGCGAGCUGGGUUCAGAACGUCGUGAGACAGUUCGGUCCCUAUCCGUCGUGGGCGCAGGAAAAUUGAGGAGAGCUGUUCCUAGUACGAGAGGACCGGAAUGGACAUACCUCUGGUGUAUCUGUUGUAACGCCAGUUGCAGUGCAGAGUAGCUAUGUAUGGACGGGAUAACCGCUGAAAGCAUCUAAGCGGGAAGCCUCCUCCAAGAUGAAUUUUCCCAUUCUUCGUGAAGUAAGAUUCCUUGUAGACUACGAGGUUGAUAGGCUAGAGGUGGAAGCGUAGUGAUACGUUGAGCUGACUAGUACUAAUAGAUCGAGGAUUUAACUU